RNAcentral lists this unclassified non-coding RNA (335 nucleotides) under uncultured Helvella. RNAcentral describes it as "sequence contains ITS1". The stretch from base 1 to 105 matches the Rfam family "5.8S ribosomal RNA", at positions 50 to 154 of the family's 154-position model. Lineage: Eukaryota; Fungi; Ascomycota; Pezizomycetes; Pezizales; Helvellaceae. The record is from RNAcentral.
GAAAUGCGAUAAGUAAUGUGAAUUGCAGAAUUCAGUGAAUCAUCGAAUCUUUGAACGCACAUUGCGCCCCCUGGCAUUCCGGGGGGCAUGCCUGUUCGAGCGUGUCCGAGAAAGAGACUCACGCGGAAGAACGCGUGGUGGUGAAGGCGGCGGCGGGCCUGACAGGGCGGCCACCCCGGCGGAAUCGAUGGGCGGACUCCGGCCGCGUCGCAGAGCGUGAUAUCUUGCUAUCGCCUCGUGCGCGGCAGUGGUUUCCAGCCAAGGCCCAGAUGGAGGGCGGGCACAGCGCGACAUUGGAACUCCUCGAAUCAGGUAGGGAUACCCGCUGAACUUAA